This 733-nucleotide ribosomal RNA is filed under the name uncultured archaeon. Its description in RNAcentral is "bacterial SSU rRNA". It matches the Rfam family "Archaeal small subunit ribosomal RNA", at positions 102 to 835 of the family's 1478-position model. The record is from RNAcentral.
GGAUAACCUACCCUUAGGACUGGGAUAACCCUGGGAAACUGGGGAUAAUACCGGAUAGGCAAUUCUUCCUGGAAUGGUUUUUUGUUUAAAUGUUUUUUCGCCUAAGGAUGGGUCUGCGGCCGAUUAGGUAGUUGGUUAGGUAACGGCUUACCAAGCCAUUGAUCGGUACGGGUUGUGAGAGCAAGAGCCCGGAGAUGGAACCUGAGACAAGGUUCCAGGCCCUACGGGGUGCAGCAGGCGCGAAACCUCCGCAAUGUGAGAAAUCGCGACGGGGGGAUCCCAAGUGCCAUUCUUAACGGGAUGGCUUUUCAUUAGUGUAAAGAGCUUUUGGAAUAAGGGCUGGGCAAGACCGGUGCCAGCCGCCGCGGUAACACCGGCAGCUCUAGUGGUAGCAGUUUUUAUUGGGCCUAAAGCGUCCGUAGCCGGUUUAAUAAGUCUCUGGUGAAAUCCUGUAGCUUAACUGUGGGAAUUGCUGGAGAUACUAUUAGACUUGAGACCGGGAGAGGUUAGAGGUACUCCCAGGGUAGAGGUGAAAUUCUGUAAUCCUGGGAGGACCGCCUGUUGCGAAGGCGUCUAACUGAAACGGUUCUGACGGUGAGGGACGAAAGUUAGGGGCGCGAACCGGAUUAGAUACCCGGGUAGUCCUAACUGUAAACGAUGCGGACUUGGUGUUGGGGUGGCUUUGAGCUGCUCCAGUGCCGAAGGGAAGCUGUUAAGUCCGCCGCCUGGGAAG